This 762-nucleotide ribosomal RNA is filed under the name Haloarcula argentinensis. RNAcentral's name for it is "bacterial SSU rRNA". It matches the Rfam family "Archaeal small subunit ribosomal RNA", at positions 32 to 794 of the family's 1478-position model. The record is from RNAcentral. Lineage: Archaea; Methanobacteriati; Methanobacteriota; Halobacteria; Halobacteriales; Haloarculaceae.
AUCGGAGUCCGAUUUAGCCAUGCUAGUCGCACGGGCUUAGACCCGUGGCAUAUAGCUCAGUAACACGUGGCCAAACUACCCUACAGACCGCAAUAACCUCGGGAAACUGAGGCCAAUAGCGGAUAUAACUCUCAUGCUGGAGUGCCGAGAGUUAGAAACGUUCCGGCGCUGUAGGAUGUGGCUGCGGCCGAUUAGGUAGAUGGUGGGGUAACGGCCCCACCAUGCCGAUAAUCGGUACGGGUUGUGAGAGCAAGAACCCGGAGACGGUAUCUGAGACAAGAUACCGGGCCCUACGGGGCGCAGCAGGCGCGAAACCUUUACACUGCACGACAGUGCGAUAGGGGGACUCCGAGUGUGAGGGCAUAUAGCCCUCGCUUUUCUGUACCGUAAGGUGGUACAGGAACAAGGACUGGGCAAGACCGGUGCCAGCCGCCGCGGUAAUACCGGCAGUCCAAGUGAUGGCCGAUAUUAUUGGGCCUAAAGCGUCCGUAGCCGGCCGGACAAGUCCGUUGGGAAAUCGACGCGCUCAACGCGUCGGCGUCCAGCGGAAACUGUCCGGCUUGGGGCCGGAAGACCUGAGGGGUACGUCCGGGGUAGGAGUGAAAUCCUGUAAUCCUGGACGGACCACCAAUGGGGAAACCACCUCAGGAAGACGGACCCGACGGUGAGGGACGAAAGCCAGGGUCUCGAACCGGAUUAGAUACCCGGGUAGUCCUGGCUGUAAACAAUGCUCGCUAGGUAUGUCACGCGCCAUGAGCACGU